This 503-nucleotide long non-coding RNA is filed under the name Phoenix dactylifera (date palm). RNAcentral describes it as "long non-coding RNA (PDAC_LNC005462)". The record is from RNAcentral. Lineage: Eukaryota; Viridiplantae; Streptophyta; Magnoliopsida; Arecales; Arecaceae.
CUUCUUGCCUCUACGGCUCCGCCAUGAUGGAAAACUUGCUCUCGGCAUAAAGCACGCGGCGCUACCAGAGUUCGUAUCCGCCCGAAUGGGUUUUCGGUCGCAAGGUGCGCAUCAAAGUGUUUAUAUUAGAGUGGCGCUAUAAUAUCCGCAAUCUUUCCGUCUGCUUUUGCUUUUGUCAGAUCUUGUGUGCUUCAUGAGUCUGUCCUAAGAUUAGGAAGUUUUCAGUGGAAAGAGGCGGGGUUUGUGCUUCUUUUAUGAGCUAUGCUAUAACUUGAGAGUUAGUCAUGCCGACAUGGCAUGGAUAAAUUGACGCAAUUUAAGAUGUUAGUCUGAAUGACAGGGGAUUGGUCUGAAUCAUAAUAGGCCAUAUUAAUUCCAAGAUAAGAAGCACUGAGCACAGGAAGAAAAAAAAUAGGCGGGCUAGAACUUAAAAUUAUUUAUUUUAGAAUUUCUUUUUAAUCUAUAUAUGUUGCCGCUGAGGACCGGCCUAUUCCAAACGUUGA